This 254-nucleotide ribosomal RNA is filed under the name uncultured prokaryote. RNAcentral describes it as "partial 16S ribosomal RNA". It matches the Rfam family "Bacterial small subunit ribosomal RNA", at positions 525 to 777 of the family's 1533-position model. The record is from RNAcentral.
ACGUAGGGUGCAAGCGUUAAUCGGAUUUACUGGGCGUAAAGGGCGCGUAGGCGGCCACCGCAAGUCAAUUGUGAAAUCUCCGGGCUUAACUCGGAAAGGUCAACUGAUACUGCGGGGCUAGAGUGCAGAAGGGGCAACUGGAAUUCUCGGUGUAGCGGUGAAAUGCGUAGAUAUCGAGAGGAACACCUGCGGCGAAGGCGGGUUGCUGGGCUGACACUGACGCUGAUGCGCGAAAGCUAGGGGAGCGAACGGGA